RNAcentral lists this ribosomal RNA (446 nucleotides) under uncultured bacterium. RNAcentral describes it as "SSU rRNA". It matches the Rfam family "Bacterial small subunit ribosomal RNA", at positions 26 to 518 of the family's 1533-position model. The record is from RNAcentral.
AGAACGAACGCUGGCGGCAGGCCUCAAACAUGCAAGUCUAGGGGGUGUAGCAAUACAUCACCGGCGGACGGGUGCGUAACACGUGGGAAUAUACCUUUUGGUUCGGAACAACGCAGGGAAACUUGCGCUAAUACCGAAUGUGCCCUUACGGGGAAAGAUUUAUCGCCAAAGGAUUAGCCCGCGUAGGAUUAGCUAGUUGGUGAGGUAAUGGCUCACCAAGGCUCCGAUCCUUAGCUGUUCUGAGAGGAAGAUCAGCCACACUGGGACUGAGACACGGCCCAGACUCCUACGGGAGGCAGCAGUUGGGAAUCUUGGACAAUGGGGGAAACCCUGAUCCAGCCAUGCCGCGUGAGUGAUGAAGGCCUUCGGGUUGUAAAACUCUUUCGACGGGGACAUAAUGACGGUACCGUAGAAGAAGCUCCGGCUAACUUCGCGCCAGCAGCCGC